CCUACGGGAGGCAGCAGUGGGGAAUAUUGCACAAUGGGGGAAACCCUGAUCCAGCAACGCCGCGUGAGUGAAGAAGUUUUUCGGUAUGUAAAGCUCUUUCAGCAGGGAAGAAGAUGACGGUACCUGUUUAAGAAGCCCCGGCUCACUCCAUGCCAGCAGCGCCGGUAAUACGUAGGGGGCGAGCGUGAUCCGGAGGGACUGUGUGUAAAGGGGGCGCAGACGGCAGUGCAAGUCUGGAGUGAAAGCCCGGGGCCCAACCCCGGAACUGCUCUUGAAACUGUGCGGCUAGAGUACAGGAGGGGUAGGUGGAAUUCCUAGUGUAGCGGUGAAAUGCGUAGAUAUUAGGAGGAACACCAGUGGCGAAGGCGGCCUGCUGGACAGUAACUGACGUUGAGGCACGAAAGCGUGGGGAGCAAACAGGAUUAGAUACCCUGGUAGUC
RNAcentral lists this ribosomal RNA (440 nucleotides) under uncultured bacterium. RNAcentral's name for it is "partial 16S ribosomal RNA". It matches the Rfam family "Bacterial small subunit ribosomal RNA", at positions 338 to 795 of the family's 1533-position model. The record is from RNAcentral.